This 84-nucleotide transfer RNA is filed under the name Geobacter sulfurreducens PCA. It matches the Rfam family "tRNA". From Rfam's summary of the family: Transfer RNA (tRNA) molecules are approximately 80 nucleotides in length. Their secondary structure includes four short double-helical elements and three loops (D, anti-codon, and T loops). Further hydrogen bonds mediate the characteristic L-shaped molecular structure. tRNAs have two regions of fundamental functional importance: the anti-codon, which is responsible for specific mRNA codon recognition, and the 3' end, to which the tRNAs corresponding amino acid is attached (by aminoacyl-tRNA synthetases). tRNAs cope with the degeneracy of the genetic code in two manners: having more than one tRNA (with a specific anti-codon) for a particular amino acid; and 'wobble' base-pairing, i.e. permitting non-standard base-pairing at the 3rd anti-codon position. The record is from Rfam by way of RNAcentral. Lineage: Bacteria; Pseudomonadati; Thermodesulfobacteriota; Desulfuromonadia; Geobacterales; Geobacteraceae.
GCCGGAGUGGUGAAACUGGUAGACGCAGCGGACUCAAAAUCCGCCGGGGGCAACCCCGUGUCGGUUCGAUUCCGACCUCCGGCA